GCGCCCGUAGCUUAACGGAUAGAGCAUCUGACUACGGAUCAGAAGGUUGGGGGUUCGAAUCCCUCCGGGCGCG
Transfer RNA from Brachybacterium muris, 73 nucleotides. It matches the Rfam family "tRNA". From Rfam's summary of the family: Transfer RNA (tRNA) molecules are approximately 80 nucleotides in length. The record is from Rfam. Lineage: Bacteria; Bacillati; Actinomycetota; Actinomycetes; Micrococcales; Dermabacteraceae.